Molecule: small nuclear RNA, 107 nt
Organism: Neofelis nebulosa (Clouded leopard)
Lineage: Eukaryota; Metazoa; Chordata; Mammalia; Carnivora; Felidae
Source: RefSeq, a predicted model, not a curated record
GUGCUCACUUUGGCAGCACAUAUAGUAAAAUCAGAGCGAUGCAGGAAAGAUUAGCAUGGCCUCUGCAUAAGGAUGACAUGAAAAUUCAUGAAGCUUCCAUAUUUUUU